This 272-nucleotide ribosomal RNA is filed under the name unidentified marine bacterioplankton. RNAcentral describes it as "partial 16S ribosomal RNA". It matches the Rfam family "Bacterial small subunit ribosomal RNA", at positions 53 to 339 of the family's 1533-position model. The record is from RNAcentral.
ACAUGCAAGUCGAACGAGGUCCGGAGCUUGCUCCGGGUGCCUAGUGGCGAACGGGUGAGUAACGCGUGGGAACCUGCCCUGGAGUGGGGAACAACCUUUGGAAACGAAGGCUAAUACCGCAUACGCUCUGAGGAGGAAAGGCUUCGGCCGCUCUUGGAUGGUCCCGCGUCUGAUUAGCUUGUUGGUGGGGUAACGGCCUACCAAGGCGACGAUCAGUAGCUGGUCUGAGAGGAUGAUCAGCCACACUGGGACUGAGACACGGCCCAGACUCC